This 434-nucleotide ribosomal RNA is filed under the name uncultured Hymenobacter sp. RNAcentral's name for it is "bacterial SSU rRNA". It matches the Rfam family "Bacterial small subunit ribosomal RNA", at positions 358 to 790 of the family's 1533-position model. The record is from RNAcentral. Lineage: Bacteria; Pseudomonadati; Bacteroidota; Cytophagia; Cytophagales; Hymenobacteraceae.
GGAAUAUUGGGCAAUGGACGAGAGUCUGACCCAGCCAUGCCGCGUGCCGGAUGAAGGCCUUCUGGGUUGUAAACGGCUUUUCUCAGGGGAGAAAAAGGGUAUGCGUACCAAACUGACGGUACCUGAGGAAUAAGCACCGGCUAACUCCGUGCCAGCAGCCGCGGUAAUACGGAGGGUGCAAGCGUUGUCCGGAUUUAUUGGGUUUAAAGGGUGCGUAGGCGGCUUGUUAAGUCCGGGGUGAAAGCCCACAGCUCAACUGUGGAACUGCCCUGGAUACUGGCAAGCUUGAGUCCAGACGAGGUUGGCGGAAUGGAAGGUGUAGCGGUGAAAUGCAUAGAUACCUUCCAGAACCCCGAUUGCGUAGGCAGCUGACUAGGCUGGUACUGACGCUGAGGCACGAAAGCGUGGGGAGCGAACAGGAUUAGAUACCCCGG